AGAGGUAACCUCUGCAGUGAUACCGUGGCUUUCAAGCAGCUCUGUAACUCCUGAAGGGGCAACACACUGUUCUGCCUGAGGUACCUUGAAAGUUGAUCCUGCUUUAUGCACAAGUAGAACAAGAUGACCUCCAGCAUGCUGUUCCAACCUACGUUCGUCUGUGACUAAUGAGGAUUCCCAGACAUGUAAGCUUAUUGCAGACAUGAACCGGAGGCAUGAGUUCUGCAGGCUUUUUAUACCUUAUCUGUACUCAAGUUUGCAUCCAUGUGACAAGGGAGACACCCGGGACUUGCUACGCAGAGAAAAAAAAUGGUGUAUGGGAAACCUCAACUGUCUACAAGUGUUGAAACAGCUCAGGUCAAGUGGUGAUAAAUAAUUUAAAGAAACCAUUGUGAUGGAAGUGUCGCUUCAAUUUUCCAUUAACGGAUCUAAUAGAUUUUAAACUUUUCUGACAGGUAAUUUCUGGAUGAAAUCAUACUUUUGCACCUUUGUUUCAUAAUAUCAUUUGCUUACUCAUGCAUUUUGUACAAACCUCGGUGUCGGCACAGAUACUGCUUUAGAUGCCCAUUGAUUCUGGCUGGCCAAUGUAAUAUUGACUUCUAAAAUAAAUGGUAAGAGUGCCAGGUUUUGUUUUUAGCAACUCAGAAAAAAACCUGUUGUGUGUUACCUGUGAAGUGCCAACCAGAAGGAACGUUUUGUGUUGGAAUUUAGUAAAACACUGUGCUUGUAUUCUCACAUCAGUACUUCUCUAGCAGGAACGACAGAGCUUUGCAUGCUGUUUUUAACAGGGGGAUAUACUCCACCUGGAAUUACAAUGAGGAAUAGAUCUCGCUGUACUUAUUUAUCUCAUUAAUUAUUUUCUUUGAACAGCUGGUGAACUCUGAGCUAUACUCUGCGAAUAUUGUGUCUUGAAGAAAUGUUGUGUAAAAAAUAAGAGAAACCUCAAUCUUGUAAUUGUUAGAAAUGUGUGGAAACUUCAUUCAUUUUGUAACAGUACCUCAAAACUAGACUGCAACUAAGAAUGGAUUUUCCUUAAAAAAUUGAGUCGCCAUCCCUGGUUGUGUUUAAGAGCCGUUUGGAUGUGGUACUCAG
Non-coding RNA from Coturnix japonica (Japanese quail), 1092 nucleotides. The record is from RefSeq and is a predicted model, not a curated record. Lineage: Eukaryota; Metazoa; Chordata; Aves; Galliformes; Phasianidae.